CUGUUUAGCAAAAACAUGUCUGUAUGAGAGUUAUAUAAAGUCUGGCCUGCCCAUUGGGGUACUGAAAGGCCGCGGUAUUGUGACCGUGCGAAGGUAGCAUAAUCAUUAGUCUUUUAAUUGGAGGCUGGUAUGAAUGGUCGGACGAGAAGUAAGCUGUCUUUAUCUCAUAGAUUGAAUUUAACUUUUAAGUGAAAAGGCUUAAAUGGGUUAGAGGGACGAUAAGACCCUAUAAAGUUUAUACAUGGAGUUAAUCAAGAGUGAUUUGGAAUAGUAAAGUUCAUUAUUAGCAAGAUGUUUAGUUGGGGUGACUAGAAUAUAAGUUAUAUAACUGUUUUUUGUUUUAAUCAGAGAUAUCUGUUUAUAUGGUCCCUUUUUAGGAUUAGAGAGUAAAUUACUUUAGGGAUAACAGCGUAAUUUUUUUUAAGAGUUCUUAUCGACAAAAGAGUUUGCGACCUCGAUGUUGAAUUAAAAAUUUCUUUGUGGCGUAGCAGUUACAAGAGAAGGUCUGUUCGACCUUUAAAUUUUUACAUGAUUUGAGUUCAGACCGGCGUGAGCCA
RNAcentral lists this ribosomal RNA (557 nucleotides) under Cherax communis. RNAcentral describes it as "partial 16S ribosomal RNA". It matches the Rfam family "Bacterial large subunit ribosomal RNA", at positions 1800 to 2628 of the family's 2925-position model. Lineage: Eukaryota; Metazoa; Arthropoda; Malacostraca; Decapoda; Parastacidae. The record is from RNAcentral.